GUGGUUUAAUUCGAUGCAACGCGAAGAACCUUACCUACUCUUGACAUCCAGAGAACUUUCCAGAGAUGGAUUGGUGCCUUCGGGAACUCUGAGACAGGUGCUGCAUGGCUGUCGUCAGCUCGUGUUGUGAAAUGUUGGGUUAAGUCCCGCAACGAGCGCAACCCUUAUCCUUGUUUGCCAGCGAGUAAUGUCGGGAACUCCAGGGAGACUGCCGGUGAUAAACCGGAGGAAGGUGGGGACGACGUCAAGUCAUCAUGGCCCUUACGAGUAGGGCUACACACGUGCUACAAUGGCGCAUACAGAGGGCGGCCAACUUGCGAAAGUGAGCGAAUCCCAAAAAGUGCGUCGUAGUCCGGAUUGGAGUCUGCAACUCGACUCCAUGAAGUCGGAAUCGCUAGUAAUCGUGGAUCAGAAUGCCACGGUGAAUACGUUCCCGGGCCUUGUACACACCGCCCGUCACACCAUGGGAGUGGGCUGCAAAAGAAGUAGGUAGUUUAACCUUCGGGGGGACGCUUACCACUUUGUGGUUCAUGACUGGGGUGAAGUCGUAACAAGGUAGCGCUAGGGGAACCUGGCGCUGGAUCACCUCCUUA
This 593-nucleotide ribosomal RNA is filed under the name Vibrio parahaemolyticus. RNAcentral's name for it is "bacterial SSU rRNA". It matches the Rfam family "Bacterial small subunit ribosomal RNA", at positions 941 to 1533 of the family's 1533-position model. The record is from RNAcentral. Lineage: Bacteria; Pseudomonadati; Pseudomonadota; Gammaproteobacteria; Vibrionales; Vibrionaceae.